RNAcentral lists this unclassified non-coding RNA (219 nucleotides) under Hevea brasiliensis (rubber tree). The record is from RNAcentral. Lineage: Eukaryota; Viridiplantae; Streptophyta; Magnoliopsida; Malpighiales; Euphorbiaceae.
GCUUUUCAGGUGAAGCUUAAAGCUGAUUCUAAUUUAGGUAUACUUUGUAUUAACCUUUUUUGUGUUCAUCAAGUGGCAACAAGAAAGCAGUGUUAAAAAAGUAAAAGAAGAAAAGGAAUGAGAAUCAAAUUUAGAACAAAAGGACUACAACAAAAUGAAGAACCAAACUGAGGCUAAUUUAGUGUACGAAAAUUUGUUUUGUCUAUUUUCCAUCGCUUG